RNAcentral lists this ribosomal RNA (253 nucleotides) under uncultured bacterium. RNAcentral describes it as "partial 16S ribosomal RNA". It matches the Rfam family "Bacterial small subunit ribosomal RNA", at positions 524 to 776 of the family's 1533-position model. The record is from RNAcentral.
CACGUAGGGUGCGAGCGUUGUCCGGAAUUAUUGGGCGUAAAGAGCUCGUAGGCGGUUUGUCGCGUCGGCUGUGAAAGCCCGGAGCUUAACGGCGGGUUGGCUUCCGGUACGGGCAUGCUGGAGUGUGGCAGGGGAGACUGGAAUUCCUGGUGUAGCGGUGGAAUGCGCAGAUAUCAGGAGGAACACCGGUGGCGAAGGCGGGUCUCUGGGCCGUAACUGACGCUGAGGAGCGAAAGCAUGGGGAGCGAACAGG